GAAUCAGGAUGCUUAAGGGCAGCAUCUGGGAGUGAGUAUUUCUAACAAGCACCCAGAUGCUUCUUUCCAUAGCACACCAAGACUGAGAAUGACUCCUGGCAAAAACUGAAGAACUUCCAUUCCAGCUGACCAACGGAGCUCCAUUGCUAUGGCAACGUGCUUGACAGCCAUUUAGAUGCAAUGUGCUCUAAUGUGACCACCGUAUGGGAAGCACACUACUGCUCAGAGGUGUCAAAGAAGUCACAGUUGAAAUAAUCAAGCAGUGCUCCAGUUGCUAUGGGGGAGCUUCACUCAGCACUGCAAAGUGAUUUGCUGAGUACGUGCCUGCGUGCAUGCUCAAUCGCACAGUUGUGUCUGACUCUUUGUGACCCCAUGGACUGUAGCCUGCCAGACUCCUCUGUCCAUGGGAUUCUCCAGGCAAUAAUACUGGAGUACAGAAAACACAAAACUAAGAGCUUUUAAGAGAUCAGAACAAUACAGAAAACAAGAAUUUUGCCAUUGAAGAAUUUAAAUCAGAUGGUCAGUUUGGAUCUAUUGGGGGAAAAAAUGAAAAGGAAAUUCAUAAUAUUCGUUCUACUAAUAUCCUGAGAUCUGUAAGCAAGUAAAAGUAGGAAGAAAAGGCUACAAUUAAAACCAUUUUCAAAAAGCUAAGUUGUGGAGUUUUUCCCUCCUAUGCUUGUAAGAUUUGCCAGAAUCCAGCCUAUUUUUAAAGACUCUGGAAACCUACUUAAAGUGGUUUCCAGAGGAUGUGGCCACAAAUGGUGCCCAUGCUACAUCAGAUACUGAAUAACGUACGUGUGGAUCUGGGCAACUAUAAGGGGAAAAUUUUCAUCAUGAAAGAGCAAAUAAAACUGGUGUGCAUGAAGUAACAGUUUUAGCAUCCACAUUAGUCCCAGAUGUUUUUCCAAAGGGACUGAGUUUUAUUUGAAAGCUGAGACAGACCAAGGUUUCUAUUCCCUCUCACCAUGCCCUUAAUACAGAAAAGUUAAGCCAAUUGAAUAACAUGUGGAUUAAUUAAUAUUUCCAGGUUAUCAGUGAAAGGCAAACUCUCUUUUGCAACACCAUGGAGCCUCAAUCAUUUUCAGUAAGUUCAGGUAUUUUCAAGGGCAAAAAAAUACAAUGACUAGAUGGAAAUAAAGAAUAAAGGUAUCUCCCUUAGGUGGUGCCCCGAAUCAGAAAAGAGAUGAGAAAAUCUGUAUCACAAACCGACAGCUUUCAAAACAAGAAUGAGUCUUUAGGCUCUUGAAUCUCCCAAGCUAGUAAGUUUAGGUAGACAAAAGAGGGAAGGUUGGCUAUAAUUACACUGGAAGAGACUCUCAGAAAUCAUAGCAUCAUCC
Bos taurus (domestic cattle) is the source of this 1337-nucleotide long non-coding RNA. NCBI's taxonomy places the organism in Eukaryota, Metazoa, Chordata, Mammalia, Artiodactyla, Bovidae. The record is from Ensembl.